CCUACGGGAGACAGCAGUGAGGAAUAUUGGUCAAUGGCCGGAAGGCUGAACCAGCCAAGCCGCGUGAAGGACGAAGGUGCCAAGCAUUGUAAACUUCUUUUGUCAAGGGACAAAAUCAGGCUCGAGAGCCUGACCGAGGGUACUUGAAGAAAAAGCAUCGGCUAACUCCGUGCCAGCAGCCGCGGUAAUACGGAGGAUGCGAGCGUUAUCCGGAUUUAUUGGGUUUAAAGGGUGCGUAGGCGGACUGUUAAGUCAGCGGGAAAAGCCCGGGGCUCAACCCCGGCGAGCCGUUUAAACUGGCUGUCUUGAGAUGUCGAGAGGUAUGCGGAAUGCGCAGUGUAGCGGUGAAAUGCUUAGAUAUUGCGUAGAACUCCGAUUGCGAAGGCAGCAUACCGGCGGCGAUCUGACGCUGAGGCACGAAAGCGUGGGUAUCGAACAGGAUUAGAUACCCUAGUAGUC
Molecule: ribosomal RNA, 459 nt
Filed under: uncultured bacterium
Lineage: Bacteria
Description: partial 16S ribosomal RNA
Rfam family: Bacterial small subunit ribosomal RNA
Source: RNAcentral